CUCUCUCUCUCUCAUUGCAAUAUUUCAGAUAAUCGACGUUAUAUUUCACAUAUACAUACAAACUUCCAAACGUGCAACAUAAUUCUCAAGGCCUAGCGAUAGGAUGGAUAAACCAUUGGAAUUAUGUCAAAACGUCAAGCCUAAAGAUAUUUGAUUAUAAAUAUUUCGUUUUUUCAAUGAUAAAUAAAAGAUGAUUUUUUCGAGGCCCUUUAAAUGAUUGCCACCAAUGGAAUUUGCUAAAUGCGAUAAAACAACAAAAUUCGACAAUAUAUUGUGCAUCAAUUGAUUUAUUACACCGAUUCGAAAAAUAAAAGAAAAUAAAAAACACCAUCAGCAUCACCAUCACCGUUUAUAAAUCAAUUUAUUUCUUCUUUCAUUGAAUAUUUAUGGCAUCGAUGAUGUAAUAAGUUUACAUAACUUAUUAAACAUUUCGGCCUCGUAAUUCGAGCCGAGGAAGGAAAAAAGAAAAAGUGGAAAAGGGAAAAAUAAUAAUUCGAAGAAAAAUGAAGAAAAAUAAGCGAGAUAGAAAGAUAAUAAAAUAAAUAAUAAGAAAUAAAACAUGGGUGCGAUUACCGCAGAGUCAGCUUCAAGUGGGCAGCGGCACUUCGGGGGAUUCCCCUUUUUCGAUCAUCGACAACGAGGAUUGCGGGGUGUCGGAUUUCCUGAACGCAGGUACAGGUACGCCGAAUGUCAGCCACCGCGAAAGAGAAACUUUCGCGUCUGCUCGAUUGAAAUUAUUGCCGACGUAUCUCCUUGAACGAACGAACGAAGAAAUGAAACAACCAACCAACCAACCAACCAACCAACCAACCAAUGAAGGAAGGAAUAAACGAAGGAUAUGGUAAAGUAAGGUUGGAAUAAUCGAUGAUAAAAAUGAACGGACGCCCGGAAGAAUCGAACGCACGCCAUUGGAUAUUUGUACUUGAUGGAUCCUCAGAUUUAUCGCGAGGUUAUCGAGCGUUAAUGCGAGUUUCGUGUAGCUCGAGUCUCGCCUCAAGAUGAUUUACAAUCUUAAUAGGACAUGACGUUGAAAUUUCGCUCGAUCAUUCCACCCUCGUCCUCACUUCUUUCCUUUUCCGAGCGUAACCGAGUCGACGUGAUAAUUGAAUCGCAUCAUUGUGUCGUCGAUUAAGAAUAAAAAGAAGAAGAAGAAGAAGAAGAAGAGGA
Molecule: long non-coding RNA, 1167 nt
Filed under: Polistes fuscatus (common paper wasp)
Lineage: Eukaryota; Metazoa; Arthropoda; Insecta; Hymenoptera; Vespidae
Description: uncharacterized LOC122524162
Source: RNAcentral